Molecule: ribosomal RNA, 2890 nt
Filed under: Escherichia coli
Lineage: Bacteria; Pseudomonadati; Pseudomonadota; Gammaproteobacteria; Enterobacterales; Enterobacteriaceae
Description: 23S ribosomal RNA
Rfam family: Bacterial large subunit ribosomal RNA
Source: RNAcentral
UUAAGCGACUAAGCGUACACGGUGGAUGCCCUGGCAGUCAGAGGCGAUGAAGGACGUGCUAAUCUGCGAUAAGCGUCGGUAAGGUGAUAUGAACCGUUAUAACCGGCGAUUUCCGAAUGGGGAAACCCAGUGUGAUUCGUCACACUAUCAUUAACUGAAUCCAUAGGUUAAUGAGGCGAACCGGGGGAACUGAAACAUCUAAGUACCCCGAGGAAAAGAAAUCAACCGAGAUUCCCCCAGUAGCGGCGAGCGAACGGGGAGGAGCCCAGAGCCUGAAUCAGUGUGUGUGUUAGUGGAAGCGUCUGGAAAGGCGCGCGAUACAGGGUGACAGCCCGUACACAAAAAUGCACAUGCUGUGAGCUCGAUGAGUAGGGCGGGACACGUGGUAUCCUGUCUGAAUAUGGGGGGACCAUCCUCCAAGGCUAAAUACUCCUGACUGACCGAUAGUGAACCAGUACCGUGAGGGAAAGGCGAAAAGAACCCCGGCGAGGGGAGUGAAAAAGAACCUGAAACCGUGUACGUACAAGCAGUGGGAGCCUCUUUAUGGGGUGACUGCGUACCUUUUGUAUAAUGGGUCAGCGACUUAUAUUCUGUAGCAAGGUUAACCGAAUAGGGGAGCCGAAGGAAACCGAGUCUUAACUGGGCGUUAAGUUGCAGGGUAUAGACCCGAAACCCGGUGAUCUAGCCAUGGGCAGGUUGAAGGUUGGGUAACACUAACUGGAGGACCGAACCGACUAAUGUUGAAAAAUUAGCGGAUGACUUGUGGCUGGGGUGAAAGGCCAAUCAAACCGGGAGAUAGCUGGUUCUCCCCGAAAGCUAUUUAGGUAGCGCCUCGUGAAUUCAUCUCCGGGGUAGAGCACUGUUUCGGCAAGGGGUCAUCCCGACUUACCAACCCGAUGCAAACUGCGAAUACCGGAGAAUGUUAUCACGGGAGACACACGGCGGGUGCUAACGUCCGUCGUGAAGAGGAAACAACCCAGACCGCCAGCUAAGGUCCCAAAGUCAUGGUUAAGUGGGAAACGAUGUGGGAAGGCCCAGACAGCCAGGAUGUUGGCUUAGAAGCAGCCAUCAUUUAAAGAAAGCGUAAUAGCUCACUGGUCGAGUCGGCCUGCGCGGAAGAUGUAACGGGGCUAAACCAUGCACCGAAGCUGCGGCAGCGACACUAUGUGUUGUUGGGUAGGGGCGUUCUGUAAGCCUGCGAAGGUGUACUGUGAGGUAUGCUGGAGGUAUCAGAAGUGCGAAUGCUGACAUAAGUAACGAUAAAGCGGGUGAAAAGCCCGCUCGCCGGAAGACCAAGGGUUCCUGUCCAACGUUAAUCGGGGCAGGGUGAGUCGACCCCUAAGGCGAGGCCGAAAGGCGUAGUCGAUGGGAAACAGGUUAAUAUUCCUGUACUUGGUGUUACUGCGAAGGGGGGACGGAGAAGGCUAUGUUGGCCGGGCGACGGUUGUCCCGGUUUAAGCGUGUAGGCUGGUUUUCCAGGCAAAUCCGGAAAAUCAAGGCUGAGGCGUGAUGACGAGGCACUACGGUGCUGAAGCAACAAAUGCCCUGCUUCCAGGAAAAGCCUCUAAGCAUCAGGUAACAUCAAAUCGUACCCCAAACCGACACAGGUGGUCAGGUAGAGAAUACCAAGGCGCUUGAGAGAACUCGGGUGAAGGAACUAGGCAAAAUGGUGCCGUAACUUCGGGAGAAGGCACGCUGAUAUGUAGGUGAAGUCCCUCGCGGAUGGAGCUGAAAUCAGUCGAAGAUACCAGCUGGCUGCAACUGUUUAUUAAAAACACAGCACUGUGCAAACACGAAAGUGGACGUAUACGGUGUGACGCCUGCCCGGUGCCGGAAGGUUAAUUGAUGGGGUUAGCGGUAACGCGAAGCUCUUGAUCGAAGCCCCGGUAAACGGCGGCCGUAACUAUAACGGUCCUAAGGUAGCGAAAUUCCUUGUCGGGUAAGUUCCGACCUGCACGAAUGGCGUAAUGAUGGCCAGGCUGUCUCCACCCGAGACUCAGUGAAAUUGAACUCGCUGUGAAGAUGCAGUGUACCCGCGGCAAGACGGAAAGACCCCGUGAACCUUUACUAUAGCUUGACACUGAACAUUGAGCCUUGAUGUGUAGGAUAGGUGGGAGGCUUUGAAGUGUGGACGCCAGUCUGCAUGGAGCCGACCUUGAAAUACCACCCUUUAAUGUUUGAUGUUCUAACGUUGGCCCCUAAUCGGGGUUGCGGACAGUGUCUGGUGGGUAGUUUGACUGGGGCGGUCUCCUCCUAAAGAGUAACGGAGGAGCACGAAGGUUGGCUAAUCCUGGUCGGACAUCAGGAGGUUAGUGCAAUGGCAUAAGCCAGCUUGACUGCGAGCGUGACGGCGCGAGCAGGUGCGAAAGCAGGUCAUAGUGAUCCGGUGGUUCUGAAUGGAAGGGCCAUCGCUCAACGGAUAAAAGGUACUCCGGGGAUAACAGGCUGAUACCGCCCAAGAGUUCAUAUCGACGGCGGUGUUUGGCACCUCGAUGUCGGCUCAUCACAUCCGGGGCUGAAGUAGGUCCCAAGGGUAUGGCUGUUCGCCAUUUAAAGUGGUACGCGAGCUGGGUUUAGAACGUCGUGAGACAGUUCGGUCCCUAUCUGCCGUGGGCGCUGGAGAACUGAGGGGGGCUGCUCCUAGUACGAGAGGACCGGAGUGGACGCAUCACUGGUGUUCGGGUUGUCAUGCCAAUGGCACUGCCCGGUAGCUAAAUGCGGAAGAGAUAAGUGCUGAAAGCAUCUAAGCACGAAACUUGCCCCGAGAUGAGUUCUCCUGACUCCUGAGAGUCCUGAAGGAACGUUGAAGACGACGACGUUGAUAGGCCGGGUGUGUAAGCGCAGCGAUGCGUUGAGCUAACCGGUACUAAUGAACCGUGAGGCUUAACCU